GCUACCUUGGCAUAGUGGUUUGAGUGCCAGACUAGACCUCUGAGAGACCAGGGUUCGAAUCCCUGAUCAACCA
This is a non-coding RNA of Phrynosoma platyrhinos (Desert horned lizard), 73 nucleotides long. Lineage: Eukaryota; Metazoa; Chordata; Lepidosauria; Squamata; Phrynosomatidae. The record is from the annotation of a GenBank genome assembly.